RNAcentral lists this ribosomal RNA (497 nucleotides) under uncultured bacterium. Its description in RNAcentral is "partial 16S ribosomal RNA". It matches the Rfam family "Bacterial small subunit ribosomal RNA", at positions 28 to 507 of the family's 1533-position model. The record is from RNAcentral.
GAUGAACGCUGGCGGCGUGCCUAAUACAUGCAAGUCGAGCGAACAGACGAGGAGCUUGCUCCUCUGACGUUAGCGGCGGACGGGUGAGUAACACGUGGAUAACCUACCUAUAAGACUGGGAUAACUUCGGGAAACCGGAGCUAAUACCGGAUAAUAUAUUGAACCGCAUGGUUCAAUAGUGAACGACGGUUUUGCUGUCACUUAUAGAUGGAUCCGCGCCGCAUUAGCUAGUUGGUAAGGUAACGGCUUACCAAGGCAACGAUGCGUAGCCGACCUGAGAGGAUGAUCCGCCACACUGGAGCUGAGACACGGUCCAGACUCCUACGGGAGGCAGCAAUAGGGAAUCUUCCGCAAUGGGCGAAAGCUUGACGGAGCAACGCCGCGUGAGUGAUAAAGGGCUUCGGAUCGUAAAACUCUGUUAUUAGGGAAGAAAAAAUGUGUAAGUAACUAUGCACGUCUUGACGGUACCUAAUCAGAAAGCCACGGCUAACUACGUG